RNAcentral lists this ribosomal RNA (488 nucleotides) under uncultured bacterium. Its description in RNAcentral is "partial 16S ribosomal RNA". It matches the Rfam family "Bacterial small subunit ribosomal RNA", at positions 28 to 507 of the family's 1533-position model. The record is from RNAcentral.
GACGAACGCUGGCGGCGUGCUUAACACAUGCAAGUCGAACGGAAAGGCCCUGCUUUUGUGGGGUGCUCGAGUGGCGAACGGGUGAGUAACACGUGAGUAACCUGCCCUUGACUUUGGGAUAACUUCAGGAAACUGGGGCUAAUACCGGAUAGGAGCUCCUGCUGCAUGGUGGGGGUUGGAAAGUUUCGGCGGUUGGGGAUGGACUCGCGGCUUAUGAGCUUGUUGGUGGGGUAGUGGCUUACCAAGGCUAGGACGGGUAGCCGGCCUGAGAGGGUGAUCAGGCACACGGGUACUGAGACACGGGUCAGACUCCUACGGGAGGCAGCAGUGGGGAAUAGUGGACAAUGGGCGCAAGCCUGAGCCAGCCAUACGGCGUGCGUGCAGAAGGCAUUGGGGUUGGAAAGGCGGUUGGUGGGGAAGGAAAAGCAGCAGGUUAAUAGCCCGCUGGUCGGACGGUACCGAAAUAAUAAGCACCGGCUAACUGCGUG